GACGAACGCUGGCGGCGUGCUUAACACAUGCCAGUCGAACGGAAAGGCCCUGCUUUUGUGGGGUGCUCGAGUGGCGAACGGGUGAGUAACACGUGAGUAACCUGCCCUUGACUUUGGGAUAACUUCAGGAAACUGGGGCUAAUACCGGAUAGGAGCUCCUGCUGCAUGGUGGGGGUUGGAAAGUUUCGGCGGUUGUGGAUGGACUCGCGGCUUAUCAGCUUGUUGGGGGGGUAGUGGCUUACCAAGGCUUUGACGGGUAGCCGGCCUGAGAGGGUGACCGGGCACAUUGGGACUGAGAUACGGCCCAGACUCCUACGGGAGGCAGCAGUGGGAAAUAUGGCGCAAUGAGGGGGAGCCUGAUGCAGCAGCGCCGCGUGCGGGAUGACGGCCUUCGGGGGGUAAACCGCUUUCGCCUGUGACGAAGCGUGAGUGACGGUAAUGAGUAAGAAAGCAACGGCUAACUACGUG
Molecule: ribosomal RNA, 468 nt
Filed under: uncultured bacterium
Lineage: Bacteria
Description: partial 16S ribosomal RNA
Rfam family: Bacterial small subunit ribosomal RNA
Source: RNAcentral